RNAcentral lists this ribosomal RNA (484 nucleotides) under uncultured bacterium. Its description in RNAcentral is "partial 16S ribosomal RNA". It matches the Rfam family "Bacterial small subunit ribosomal RNA", at positions 30 to 507 of the family's 1533-position model. The record is from RNAcentral.
AUUGAACGCUGGCGGCAGGCCUAACACAUGCAAGUCGAGCGGAUGAAGGGAGCUUGCUCCUGGAUUCAGCGGCGGACGGGUGAGUAAUGCCUAGGAAUCUGCCUGGUAGUGGGGGAUAACGUCCGGAAACGGGCGCUAAUACCGCAUACGUCCUGAGGGAGAAAGAGGGGGAGCUUCGGACCUCACGCGAUCAGAUGAGCCUAGGUCGGAUUAGCUAGUUGGUGGGGUAAAGGCCUACCAAGGCGACGAUCCGUAACUGGUCUGAGAGGCUGGUCAGUCACACUGGAACUGAGACACGGUCCAGACUCCUACGGGAGGCCGCAGUGGGGUAUAUUGGGCAGUGGGCGAAAGCCUGAUCCAGCCAUGCCGCGUGUGUGAAGAAGGUCUUCGGAUUGUAAAGCACUUUUAGUUGGGAGGAAGGGCAGUAAGUUAAUACCUUGCUGUUUUGACGUUACCAACAGAAUAAGCACCGGCUAACUUCGUG